This 408-nucleotide ribosomal RNA is filed under the name Elaphe taeniura (beauty snake). Its description in RNAcentral is "Elaphe taeniurus (beauty snake) partial small subunit ribosomal RNA". Lineage: Eukaryota; Metazoa; Chordata; Lepidosauria; Squamata; Colubridae. The record is from RNAcentral.
UGCCCAACUAUAACACAACAAUUAAAUAACCCAUUGUUCGCCAAAUAACUACGAGUAAAAACUUAAAAUUUAAAAGACUUGACGGUGCCUCAAACCAACCUAGAGGAGCCUGUCUAAUAACCGAUACCCCACGAUAAACCCGACCCACUCUAGCCUACAGUCUAUAUACCGCCGUCGCCAGCCUACCUUGUGAAAGAAACAAAGUGAGCCUAAUAGCCCCACACUAAUACGACAGGUCGAGGUGUAACUUAUGGGUGGGAACAAGAUGGGCUACAUUUUCCAACACAGAAAAUACGAAUUAAUCUAUGAAAUAAGAAACUGAAGGCGGAUUUAGCAGUAUGCUGAGAACAAUAUACCCAGCUGAAACCAACGCAAUGAGGUGCGUACACACCGCCCGUCAUCCCUGUC